AGAGUUUGAUCCUGGCUCAGGACGAACGCUGGCGGCGUGCUUAACACAUGCAAGUCGAACGGUAAGGCCCUUCGGGGUACACGAGUGGCGAACGGGUGAGUAACACGUGGGUAAUCUGCCCUGCACAUCGGGAUAAGCCUGGGAAACUGGGUCUAAUACCGAAUAGGACCACAGAACACAUGUCCUGUGGUGGAAAGCUUUUGCGGUGUGGGGUGGGCCCGCGGCCUAUCAGCUUGUUGGUGGGGUGAUGGCCCACCAAGGCGACGACGGGUAGCCGGCCUGAGAGGGUGUCCGGCCACACUGGGACUGAGAUACGGCCCAGACUCCUACGGGAGGCAGCAGAAGGG
This 347-nucleotide ribosomal RNA is filed under the name uncultured Mycobacterium sp. Its description in RNAcentral is "bacterial SSU rRNA". It matches the Rfam family "Bacterial small subunit ribosomal RNA", at positions 8 to 359 of the family's 1533-position model. The record is from RNAcentral. Lineage: Bacteria; Bacillati; Actinomycetota; Actinomycetes; Mycobacteriales; Mycobacteriaceae.